RNAcentral lists this ribosomal RNA (482 nucleotides) under uncultured Chitinophagaceae bacterium. Its description in RNAcentral is "bacterial SSU rRNA". It matches the Rfam family "Bacterial small subunit ribosomal RNA", at positions 28 to 505 of the family's 1533-position model. The record is from RNAcentral. Lineage: Bacteria; Pseudomonadati; Bacteroidota; Chitinophagia; Chitinophagales; Chitinophagaceae.
GAUGAACGCUAGCGGCAGGCUUAACACAUGCAAGUCGUGGGGUAACAGGGGAGCUUGCUCCCGCUGACGACCGGCAAACGGGUGCGUAACACGUACGCAACCUGCCCCAAAGUGGAGGAUAGCCUUUGGAAACGAAGAUUAAUACUCCAUAGUAUCAUUUGAUGGCAUCUGACAAUGAUUAAAGCUUCGGCGCUUUGGGAUGGGCGUGCGCCUGAUUAGAUAGUUGGUGAGGUAACGGCUCACCAAGUCAACGAUCAGUAGCUGAUGUGAGAGCAUGAUCAGCCACACGGGCACUGAGACACGGGCCCGACUCCUACGGGAGGCAGCAGUGAGGAAUAUUGGUCAAUGGAGGCAACUCUGAACCAGCCAUGCCGCGUGGAGGAUGAAGGUCCUCUGGAUUGUAAACUUCUUUUAUUAGGGAAGAAACCCAAGAUUUCUAUUUUGGUUGACGGUACCUAACGAAUAAGCACCGGCUAACUCCG